RNAcentral lists this ribosomal RNA (468 nucleotides) under uncultured bacterium. RNAcentral's name for it is "partial 16S ribosomal RNA". It matches the Rfam family "Bacterial small subunit ribosomal RNA", at positions 28 to 507 of the family's 1533-position model. The record is from RNAcentral.
GACGAACGCUGGCGGCGUGCUUAACACAUGCAAGUCGAACGGAAAGGCCCUGCUUUUGUGGGGUGCUCGAGUGGCGAACGGGUGAGUAACACGUGAGUAACCUGCCCUUGACUUUGGGAUAACUUCAGGAAACUGGGGCUAAUACCGGAUAGGAGCUCCUGCUGCAUGGUGGGGGUUGGAAAGUUUCGGCGGUUGGGGAUGGACUCGCGGCUUAUCAGCUUGUUGGUGGGGUAGUGGCUUACCAAGGCUUUGACGGGUAGCCGGCCUGAGAGGGUGACCGGCCACAUUGGGACUGAGAUACGGCACAGCCUACUACGGGAGGCAGCAGUGGGGAAUAUUGUACAAUGGGCGGAAGCCUGAUGCAGCAACGCCGCGUGCGGGAUGACGGCAUUCGGGUUGUAAACCGCUUUCGCCUGUGACGAAGCGUGAGUGACGGUAAUGGGUAAAGAAGCACCGGCUAACUACGUG